Molecule: unclassified non-coding RNA, 240 nt
Filed under: soil metagenome
Description: partial contains 5.8S ribosomal RNA, internal transcribed spacer 2, and large subunit ribosomal RNA
Source: RNAcentral
AACGGUCUAUACCUGCGGUACCUGCGGAAGGAUCAUUAAUGAGAAACUGCCCCUCGCGGGUAGAUCUCCCACCCUUUGUAAACUUACCUUUGUUGCUUUGGCAGGCCCGUCUCCGGACCGCCGGCUUCGGCUGGCCAGUGCCUGCCAGAGGAUUCUAAAACUCUGUCUGUCAGUGUUGUCUGAGUCUAUAUACAAUCGUUAAAACUUUCAGCAAUGGAUCUCUAGAUCGGAAGAGCACAC